This 9137-nucleotide long non-coding RNA is filed under the name Homo sapiens (human). RNAcentral's name for it is "HSALNT0165122". Lineage: Eukaryota; Metazoa; Chordata; Mammalia; Primates; Hominidae. The record is from RNAcentral.
CGAUUAUGUGGUUCUUAUAACACUAGAUGGGUUAAAGUCAUACUUUUGACUUCUAUUAUUUAUGUGAUUUUAUGUGAUCUUGGCCAUUCAGCCUUUUUUUGGUAAAAAGGGAAUGAUAAUAUCUCUCAAGAGUAUUGCAAGAUUUAAAUGAAAUUAAAUGUGUUGAAAGCUUCUUUAAGAAAUGUACAGAGUGCAUAGAAGAAUCUCAAUUUUUAUAAGUUUCUCAAUUUUCCCUUUACAUUUUCAUUCUUAUUGUCAUCUGUCUCUCACUGAUGCUGCUGCUUCUCAUGUCGCCCCCUAAGUGCAGACUAGUUCUCACCCUCAGUGCUCUAACCACUGCCUCUAGAAGUAAAAUAAGUGUCCUCUUGCAGAAUACUUCUACUUCCUUCUCCUCAAACCCCUCCAGCUUGGAAUCUCAUACUAUUUGAUUAUAUUGAUCACUCUCCCAAUGUUUAGUCACUUUCCCUCAUUCUUUGCAGUCUUUACAACCUGACUUAACUGCCAUUAUUUUGAUGUCUCAUUUAAAUUACUUAUCUUCUUUGACAUUUGACCUCAUCAUUUCCAAUGUACUUGCUAUCUUCAGUAUCUAGCUAUUCAAUCUCAUGAUCUCAGCUCAAACCACGUUAUUACUCCUAAUUGCAAAUUUUUACAAUCUAACUUUUAAGUCUCCUGCCUUCCGAACAUUAACUUCUAUCUUUCUAGUUCAUUCCAUUUACUACAACUUCAAAAAUACUGUGACUCAUCCUGGAUCUACAAUCUCAUACAAUAUACAAUACAGUCCUUAUACAAUUCUCAAUCCAGUUUUCUCCACACAUCCUUUACUUCUCAGCAAACCCACCUUCAAAACAUUUAAAUAAUUUUUACUACUGCUGUUAUCCACCCAGGCCAAGCCAAAAUCAUGUCUCAUCUGAAUUUUUAUCCCCCUUCCUGCUUCUGCAUUGGCCCUCACCCUCAGUCUAUUCUCAAUACCCAAGCAAGAAUAUAACAUAGUAUCAUGGAGAUCAUGCCACUCUGCUCAUUCACUUUUAAGGACUUCUAAUUCCACUCUGGGUCAUUAUUGUACAGAUUAUACAGCUCUACUCAUGCUCCCCACCAGGCACACCUCUUUGAUCACAGCCCUGUUGCUCUUCCCCUCAUGCCUCUGUUCUAGUUUUGCUGUACCCAACACUUCCUGGUGCUCUUUGGGCAGGCUGGGAAUUGUCUCUGUGUUAGCCCAUUCGAGCAGCUAUAACAAAAUACCAUAGACUAAGUAGCUUAUAAAUGACAGAAAUUUAUUUUUCACAGUUCUGGAAGCUAAGUCCCAGAUCAAAGUGCUCACAUAUUCCAUAUAUGAUGAGGCCCUAUUUCCUAGUUCAUAGACCCAUCUUCUUCACAUGGUGGAGUCGUCAUAUGGUGGAAGGGACAAACCAACCCCCUCAGGCAUCCUUUAUAAAGGCACCAAUCUCCUUCAUGAAGGCUCUGUAUUCAUGACAUAAUCACCUUCCAAAGACCUUAACUUUUAAUAGUAUCAUACUGUGAAUUACAUUUCAACCUAUGAAUUUGGAGGGGGGUGGUUGUCAACAUUCAGACCAUAGCACUCUCACAUUAGAUGCUUUGUACAUGGUUUCUCUGACUGAAAACACCUGUCUUCAAGUUCCCCCCUGAAUUGUUUCCUUAUCUCCUGGAUUAGUUCCUUCUCAUGCUGCUAAUAAAAACAUAUCCUAGACUGGGUAAUUUAUAAAGGAAAGAGAUUUAAUUGAGUCACAGUUCUGCACAGCUGGUGAGACCUCAGGAAACUUACAGCCAUGGUGGAAGGGGAAGCAACACAUCCUUCUUCACGUGGUGGCAGCAAGGAGAAGUGCCAAGCAAAAUGGGGGAAAAAACCCUGAUAAAACCCUCAGAGAACAUGAGAAUUCAUUCAUAUCACAAGAAUAGCAGCGUGGAGGUAACUGCCCCCAUGAUUCAAUUGUCUCCCACCAGGUCCCUCCCAUGACAUGUGGGGAUUAUGGGAACUACCAUUCAAGCUUUAGAUUUAGUGGGGGACCCAGUCAAACCAUAUCACCUUCUUCAAGUCUUUCACUCAAAUGCUACUGUCUCCGUCAUGCCUUCCUUAUUUCCCUACUUAAAAUUAUAUCUCCUCCUCGUGUUCUUUAUUUGCUUUGUCUGCUUUACUUUCCUCCAUAGCACUUAGCAACACUUAACAUAUUAUGUAGUUUAAUUAUUUAUGUUGUUACACAUCUCCUUCCAAGAGAAUGUAAGCUCCAAAAAGGCAUAUUUUUCUUUAUUUUCUUUUUUUCACUGCUAUAUCCGCAGUGUCUACAAUACAAUGUGGUACAAGGUAGGAGCUUAAUGUGAAUGAAUGAAUGUUAGUCGUAUUACCUUUUAAAUUUACCUUAUUUUUUAAUUUUCUACAUUUUCCACAUUCCUUCAUCCUUUCCACCUUCCUACAUCCUGUGGGAUGUGCAUACAGAAAGCAGCAACAUUAAGGUAAAAAGUUCAACCUUUGGAUUAAUAUUUAAAUCUUGAGACAGUUUUGCUUUUCUGUUGCCUUUAGCAAAACCACAUUCCUGCUGCUGUCAGUUAUGAUGCACUGAGAAAACUUCAGAGACCUAAACUUUUUCCAGAGAAGAGAAGCUUUACUGGUUCUAUAUUGCAGAAACCUUUGUUCAACAAAACUGCAGAUGCUCUGUUGAAUCCACUGGAGAUUGUUCUGAUACUAAGGACAAGUAUCAAACAUCUUUCCUGUGAAAAAUUCCCUCUCCUAGUACUUUAGUUCUGUGGAUCCAAAAUUUAUAGCAUUCUUCUACCACCACAGGGGCUCAUAUGACAUUAACAGACAAGACACUUUUCAGAAAGACAGGUUGUUCUUUUGGGCCACAUCUAAGAAAUCUUUGUCUAGCCAAAAGCCACAAAUAAUUUCUCAUUUUUUGGCUUCUGGAAGAUGUACAGUUAAAUGUUAUAUUUGGGACUGUUAUCUAAUUUGGUUAAAUUGCACUCUACAAUAUGGUAUUUGAAUUGAUGAAAAAUUAGUAAAUGUUAAUAUUUUUUAAAGUAGCCAAAUCUUGCAAUUUAUAUAUAAUAGAGAAGACUAGAAAAUCCCCCAUAUUUAUUUCCUCUUACUUCGUACUACUAAAAUUUGUAUUUAGGCAUUUGGUUUCUCAGAUAAACAUUACAUUCCCCAGUAUAUGGUUCUAUCUGGCUUGGUGACGACAUGUUGAACAUUAAGAUGUGAGCAGAAGUAAUACAUACACACUCUUUUUCAUGUCUUUAAUUGAAUGGGAUAUUGGCCCAUUUUUUCUUCCAGUUUAUUACACUGAAUAUUGACAUGUUAUUUUCCAAUAUUGAGACAAUCAAUGACAAGACUUUAAGAGUAACAAUGUAAAAAUACAGAAGUUGUCUGAGUUUAUCAACAAUCCCCUGGAUUAGAACCCCCUACCAGUUCUAGGUCAUCUAAUAUAUAGACAUUGUGUUCAGUAGAAAUAAAUAUAUAUAUUUUUUAUUAUGCUUUAAGUUCUAGGAUACAUGUGCACAACAUGCAGUUUUGUUACAUUGGUAUACACGUGCCAUGUUGGUUUGCUGCACCCAUUAACUCAUCAUUUACAUUAGGUAUUUCUCCUAAUGCUAUCCCUCCCCCUGCCCCCACCCCCGACAGGCCCUGGGGUGUGAUUUUCCCCACCCUGUGUCCAAGUGUUCUCAUUGCUCAAUUCCCACCUAUGGGAAUACAUUUUUAAAUCAUUUUUAAAGGUGUUAUUACAUUCUGAUUGAACAUUUUCAGAAAGAAUAAAUAAUUUAAUACAAGAAGUGGGCCACUUCAUGUAACAAAACAAACCACCACUACAGCAACAACAACAAAAAACACUAAUGAAUGUGACUUUAGCUUUGCAACAUCGUGACAGACUAGCAAGUUAAUGACAUUUGUUAUGCCAUAGAAAAUAUUUGUUGAAUUGCCACUCUAAUGACUUUAUAUCAGCCAACUCAUUAUCAACACUAGAAAAGAUGAUUAAAAAAUACUUCAGUACGUUCACGUGUUGGCUUGUUAACAUUUUUAAGAGUCUAUAAGAGAAAAAUGCAUCCAAUCUUGACAAAAAUAUUUUUCAAGUAUCUUGUAGGUACGUACAACUAACUACCUUGUGAACAAAAGUCACUAUAUAAUUAUAUAAUUUCUGACACUUAAAAAAGUUUAUUGUGCUAAAGAAGAUAUAUGUUCUAAUACCAAAUCCACAUAUAAAAUAAUUGACUUAAAUAAUUUAAGAUGCUCUUUUAUAUAUUUAUAUUAAAAACUUUACAGAGAAUAAAAAAAGCAUUAUACAGGCUACUUAUGGUUUUUGAUGUUUGGAUCUACAAUACAUGUAUCAAAGAUUGUGGAAAUAAAUCAAACAAUAUAUUCAAUUGGACUUAAUUGCAUUAUUACAUGCCAAGUGUCGUAUACCAUCUAUUUGCACAUAACACUUUUUAAUUUAGGUAAAAUUAUUAUCAUAAAGCUACAUGAAUUUAUUUUAUUCCAUGUUAUUAUUUAUGUAUUGUUAGGAACAUUUGCUUAAAAAUCAUAUUUGGACAUAGUUAGUAUCAGAUACUUUACAUCCUUUGAAUCAGUUAUUUUAUAACAGUAUAUACUAAACAUCAUUACUCCUUUUCAAACAUAAAUAACGCAAUACAAAUUGGACAAAAAAUUCAGGAAAGAUCUGGGAUCAAAAAGGAGGUAUUGAAACAUCACAUGUACUCCAUAAUUAUAUACAAAUAUUUUGUACCCAUAAUAUUUAAAAUACAGAAAAUUAAAAGGUGCAUUUUCCUCAAAGUGCAUGCUUCUUUUGCUAUGCAAAACUGCAAGAUAUGGAAAGAAGUGUAUUAAAACACUAAAUCACUUUAUGUGGAAGAUAAAAGGGAUGGUACCCAAUGUAAGACUUCAUGUAGUGCACUGAUACAUUCAAUACAAAUGAUGUAUUAACUUCAAGAUAACAUGAGAAAGUUAAAUUAUCUAACUUAUUUCAAACUAGGGGAUAGUAUGUUCUCAUUAUUAGAAGCCAGAAUUCUGCUUAUCCAUUUCUAUUAUUAGAAAAAAACAUAAUUUUUAUUCUUGUCUUAAAAAUAGACACCAUGAUAUCAUUCUCUGUAAAUGCAGCAUGAUAGUCUGUUUACAGAGUUUAUAUCAUUCCAAGACUGCACUUCUAAAGUGAGAAAAUAUUAAAGGAUAUAAACUCACUCCUCUCUACAAAAUUCCUUAUUUUUUAUGCAAUGGCUUUAAAAUGUAUGGAAGGGGAGUUAUGGAAACAAUCCAUACCUGGAAAGCAUUCUAUCCAUGCCUUUGAAAUGGUUAUCUAGUACUAGAUUCUUAUCAGUGCCUAGCUAUGUAAUGUGUGUAGCUUAAGAUUUUUAAGAAAGAAGGAUAAAAUGCUCAAUAUAAAUUUAAAAAGCACUUUUAUUGGAAUAUUGAAUCAUAUAUUUGCUUUCUGUAAGUCCUUUUAUCUAUAAAAUAAUAGUUGAGAAAGGCAAAUAGAAUAUGUGGAGGAAUUAAAAAUUCAGUUGUAGGGUGGUAAAUGAAAACCAAAUUUUUCAUUCACCACAUUAAAUGUAAAUGGGUAUUAUACUCAAUUUAAGCAGCAAAGUUGCUUUUUUUUUUUUUUUUUUUUUUGAGACAGAGACUCACACUGUCGCCCGGGCUGGAGUACAAUGUUGCCAUCUCGCUUCACUGCAACCCCUGCCUGCUGGGUUCAAGCCAUUCUCCUGCCGCAGCCUCCCGUGUAGCUUCUUAAGAUGUGAAGAUUUUUAAAUUAAGAUGACUCUUGGGAUGAACCAUCUUGUGUUGGUUAAAGACUUUUACUGACAUAUUUUUAAUAAUUUUUUUAACUUUUAUUUUCAGGUCAAUGGCACAUGCGUAGGUUUGUUAUGUAGGUAAACUAGUGUCACAGGGAUUUGUUGUGCAGAUUAUUUCACCACCCAGCUAUUAAGCCUAGUACCCAUUAAUUGUUUUUCCUGAUCUUCUGCUUCCUCCCACCAUCCACCCUCCCAGAGGCCCCAGUGUCUGUUGUUUCCCUCUAUGUGUUCAUGUGUUCUCAUAAUUUAGCUCCCAUUUGUAAAUGAGAACAUGCAGUAUUUGGUUUUCUGUUCCUGCAUUAGUUUGUUAAGGAUAAAGACCUCCAUCCAGCUCCAUCCAUGUUCCUGCAAAGGACUUGAUCUCACUCUCUUUUAUGGCUGCCUAACAUUCCAUGGUGUAUAUGAACCACAAAAUAAAGAUGGUUCUUAACUUUUAAAUUAAGAUUUUUAAAUUAAGAUGAAUCUUGAUUUUUAAAUUAGUAUGGUUUUAAGAUAGUUUUACAGAUAGAUUAGAUAAUCUAUCUAGAGAUAGACAGGGAGAGAUAUCUAUCAAUACAUAUCUCUAUCUAGAUAUAGAUAGAUGGUUUUCUAUAUAGACCUAUCUAUCUAUAUAUGUAUACAUCUAUAUAUGUCUACACAUAUCUCUAUACACAUAUAUAUAUUUAUAUCUACAUCUAUAUUUCUACAUGUAUAUAGGUAUGUAUAUAUCUACAUGUAUAUAUGUAUAUAGAUAGAUAUAUACAUAGGUAUCUGUAUAUAUGCAUAUACAUGCCUAUCUUUAUCUACAUGUAUAUAGAUAUCAUAUACACACAUAGAUAUAUAUAUAUAUCGGCAUGUAGAUAUUUAUGUAGAUAUACAUAUAUAGAUAUCUGCAUAUAUACAUUUGUAUAUAUAGACAUAGAUAUAAAUAUUAAUAUAUCUAUAUAUGUAUAUAAAUACAUAUACAUAUCUGUAUCUGUAGAAGAUAUCUACUAUCUUCUAUCUAUAUAUCUAUCUAUAGAACCAUCUUAAUUUAAAAACCUUUCAUAUAUGCAUAUAAAAGGUAAUCAAACACAAGCCAAAUGAAAAUUUGUUUAGCUAUGUUAAUAUCAGACAAAAGAGAUUUUAAGGCAGAAAUUAUUACUUGAAAGGAAGAUGUAUCCAUCAUCCAUAUAAAAGAAUCAACUAUUGAGGAAGUUGUCAAACUUGUGUAUGUAUAUUCACUCACACACAGUUAACACACAUUUACAAUUUUUAUAGAACUAAAAGGAGCAAUAGCCGCGUCUUCAAUCAUAAAGACUUUAAUAUACCUUUUUCAAUAACUGAUAGCAAAAAGGAUACAAAAUAUCAAUAAUAAUAGAAAAAUUUAAAGCAGUAGGAUUAAAUACUUUGAUAUAAAAACUGCACCCAAAAAUAGCAAAACACACAAUUUAUUAUAAUGUAUUUGGAACGUGUUUCAAAAUUUACCAUAGCUAUCUAUAGAUAUCUCUGUCUAUCUAGGUAGAUAGAUAAUAGAUAGGUAGGUAGGUAGAUAGAUAGAUAGAUAGAUAGAUAGAUAGAUAGAUAGAUAGAUAGGUUAGAUAGACAGAUAUAGGCUGAGGUUAGGCCCAAAACAAGAAUCAAUAAAUACCAAAAAUUUGAAAUCCUUGACAGUGUUUUUUGUACAACAAUGUUAUUAAGCUGCAAAUCUAUAGCAAGACUUUGAAAGUGACCAAAUGUUUAGAAAUUAAGCAUCACAUUUCUAAGUUAUUCAUGGAUCGAAAAAGUAAUUACAGUGAAUAUUAAAAUAUAUUUUGAAUUUAAUAAAAACGAAAGUAAAAAUACUGCUUGUUAAAAGAUGGGAGGCUUAGGCAAACCUCAGCUUGGAGAUAAAUGCAUAUGCUUACAUAAAUAUGUUUAAAAAAUUAAAGCUUGAAAAUUAAUAAUCUAAUUGUCAAUUUCAAAAAUUUAAAAUGUGAUGUCAAAUUAAAUCCAAAGAAUUAGAAAAGAGAAGAUACAUAAGAAGCAUGAGAAAAGGAAACAAUCAUAAAAUAAAUGAAAUCAGCAAAAGCCAAAGUUACUUUGAAAAGACUGAUAAAAAUAUACCAUGAUUAUGCAUGAAAUUUAAAAAAAAGAGUAUCCACAAAUUCUAAAUAUCAUGAAUAAUAACAAGGAAAUCAUUAUAGAUUCUAUAGUCAUGGGAGAGAAAAAGAGAAUGUAAUAAGUAACUUUAAGUCAAAAAUUUUGAAAUAAUUUGAUGAAAUAGAUACAUUUCUAGAAAAUCAUUAAUAGUGACACAAGAAUAAAUAGCAAAUCCUAAUAGCUCUAUAUCUAUUAAAAAUAAAAUUACAAUUAAAGCUUUCCAAAUGUAGUGAGUCUAAAUCAAAUAAAAUAUUAAAAAUCUGAAAUGUUUCCAGGAAGAAACAUUGAAUUCCUAAUAUAAAAUGUAACAUAUCAUAUGCAAUCCCUUUACUGAAAAUUGUGAAAUUUUACUGAGAGAAAUUAAAGAUAUUCAACAGAAAUAAAGGUGUACUGUGAGUCCUAUGUCAUUCCUGGUAUUAGAAGAAAGAUUCAGUAUUUUAAAUAAAUCUAUAUUUGUAAUACACUGAAAAUCACAAUACUGUGAUUAGUAAUAGCAUAAUUUGUCUGCAUUAUAUUUGGUGGCAACUGAAAAACUGACUAUAAAAUGCAAAUAAAAAUGCAGUGUAUAGAUAACUUUGAAGAAAAAAUAUAAUGUGAAGACUUACACUAUUAGAUAUAAAGUUUUUAUAAAUGUAUAUUAAUUAUGACAUUAUGGAAAAGGUGCAAGUAUAGAUAUUUCAAUGAAACAGAAUAGAGAGCUCGUAAAGAGAACCACACAAUAUAUUUAGCUGAUUUGUGAAAAAAAUAGUGCUUCAGUACAAUGAGGAAAAGAUUCAUUUUCAAUAAAUUGUGCUGUCUUUCAUACAUCGGUACAGAUAAAAAUGAAUAUUAACAUCCAACCUCACAACAUACACAAAAAUUAUUUCAUAUAGAAGCCAAUGUGUAACAUAAAACAGUACAGUUUUUAAAAAGUAAUACAGAGGACACUUCUAUGACCUUAAGAUUUUAAAAAAGACUCAAAAAGUAACGAUUGAAGGCUAAUAAAUAAGAUAAAUAAGUUAAUAAAUAGUAAUAAAAUAACAUAAAAAAUAAGGAUUUGUAAUCAUAAAAUAACUCACUGAGAGUGAAAAGGCAAGCAACAGAAUGGGAAAUGAAAUUUGCAAACAUAAAUACAAUAAGAACUCUUGAUCAAAAGAUACUUUUUAAACUCUACAAAUGAAUUUUUUGAAAAAAAAAAUAUGGCCAGGUACAGUGGCUCACGCCAUUAAUCCCAGCACUUUGGGAGGAACACUUGAGCCCGAGAAUUU